UCAUUAAGAAGCUAUGAAUCAGCAUUAGCCUUUUAAGCUAAAGAAAGAGGGACCCCCCCCCUCCUUAAUGAU
This 72-nucleotide transfer RNA is filed under the name Sporophila castaneiventris (chestnut-bellied seedeater). RNAcentral's name for it is "tRNA-Lys". The record is from RNAcentral. RNAcentral also lists the same sequence under 1 other name. Lineage: Eukaryota; Metazoa; Chordata; Aves; Passeriformes; Thraupidae.